Phragmites australis (common reed) is the source of this 549-nucleotide long non-coding RNA. RefSeq lists it as uncharacterized. The record is from RefSeq and is a predicted model, not a curated record. The transcript is spliced from 2 exons. NCBI's taxonomy places the organism in Eukaryota, Viridiplantae, Streptophyta, Magnoliopsida, Poales, Poaceae.
GUGUAUUUGCAAGUGAUGCUAUGAAUGACUAUAAAAGGCAACGCUGAACUGCGUAUGUUAUCCCCGCCUCAAACACAAGAAGUAAAGAGAUAGCGAGCUUUGGUAUGCAUAUGUUUGCUAUACCACCACCAUUGUGCAAGUGCGGUACUACAUGCGAAAUGAAGUCGUCAGUCAUCUAUUAGGCUUUGUGAUUUCAUAAUUUGGAUCGAUUUCAACAUCAAAGCUGAGAACAAGGAAUGGAUGAACUUGUUGAAGAAAUGUGGACAUGGAAGACCUUGAGAUGAAGUGACAAGCGGAGGCGAUGAAUGAGGUUGAAGAAAAUGGGAGAGGACUUUGCGAGGUGGGAGGUGGAGAAAGAAAAGUCGUCUCGCUAGAAGGGGUGGUUCAACAAGUACAGACCAUUGAGUUUGUUUCUACCAAUGUAUUUCACGAAAGGUAUUUAUGUGUUGUAUGCUACGUGUGUUGUCAGUUCUGUAUGACUAGAAGCAAUGUAUCCUGAUGUACUACCUCCGCUUAAUAUAAUAUUUCAUUGUACCAUGUUGUUCGUAA